GUCGAAUACGUGUGGCCCGCCAGAGCGAAAUCGAGUGAUGUGGAGAAAAAAGACGUCCGCGGAAAAUGAGGGAUGGCGGCGGCAAAAAUCAAAAUAAAAUAAUUAUAUUAUUAUGUAUAGAUAGUAACAACUAUACUCUCGUACGUAUUGUGACGGCGAGAAAUGGACGGCGGCGGACGUGGCGGCAGCGGACGCGGUGGCGGACAGUAGAAGAGGACGAUACGACAACGACGACUACGACGACGAUGAUUACGGUGACGCGCGCGCGGCGGUAUAUACGACGGUGUCGUCGGUUCCAAAUCAAAUGAUGGCCCUGCGUAAUUCAAUAACUGGCCGUCGCGUAGAAAAGUGCGAAUAACCCACCCCCUUUAUUCGGGCGGCGGCGCGCGGCGUGCCGGUCACCGCCGCCGCCGGAGGGGCGCAUACGGCGACGGCGGCAGCGGUGACUUUGCGGCCCCCGGGUUGGGCGGGGCAUGCCCGGCCGACACCCUCGCCCCCGCAGCGCCAUUGGUCUCGCGGCGCGCGCGCAACCCCUCGCCCACCGCCGCCGCAAUCCACCCCCGCGGGCUUCGCAACCACGACCACCACUCGGCUAAAGGUGCGCGUGUGCGGGGCACGACGUACGCCCGUUUUUUCUUCGUAUUUUUUUUCGCUAGCGCUCGCGA
This is a long non-coding RNA of Rhopalosiphum padi (bird cherry-oat aphid), 665 nucleotides long. RefSeq lists it as uncharacterized. NCBI's taxonomy places the organism in Eukaryota, Metazoa, Arthropoda, Insecta, Hemiptera, Aphididae. The record is from RefSeq and is a predicted model, not a curated record. The transcript is spliced from 2 exons.